UGGCGCUCCUUCCGGCUCACAUGUGCGGUGGUUCUCCUCUAGGUCACCAUGGCUUUGUCAUUGGUUACUCCCUCUUUCUAAGGCGCCCUCUUGUUUGGUGGGCAGUAUUGGGUGGGUCCCCCCACAGCUGCGUGAGGUGGGCUAGAGGAGCUGGGCAUCGGGUCAGUGCCCCAGCCUGCUGGGGGCCCUGUGGGGCCGCCUGUGCCCCGGUGCCUGGAAGGCCGACUCUUGACAGCAGGUCUUCUCUUCAAAUGUAUCCACCCAGCCAGUUGUCUGCCCUGGGGCUGCUUAGAGUCGGCCACAAAAUCAACCUGUGUGCAGGGUCAGUGGCUUGGCAUUGGGCUGUGGGGCCUGUCCCUGUGGCUGGCAGCCUGCCUGCUGCCCGGUCCAUGCCUCUGUUGCCUUGGAUUUGGGUUCUGAGUGAAUGCAGCCUUGCCUCUUGGACCGUCCUGUGAGACGGGCAGCUCUCCACCUGCGUUCUCAGCACUGCGCCCUUGUUGCAGGUAUGGCGUCAUCAUUGUGGGCAACCCGAAGGCACUGUCGAAGCAGCCGCUCUGGAACCACCUGCUGAACUACUACAAGGAGCAGAAGGUGCUGGUGGAGGGGCCGCUCAACAACCUGCGCGAGAGCCUCAUGCAGUUCAGCAAGCCGCGGAAGCUGGUCAACACCAUCAACCCGGGAGCCCGCUUCAUGACCACAGCCAUGUAUGAUGCCCGGGAGGCCAUCAUCCCAGGCUCCGUCUAUGAUCGGAGCAGCCAGGGCCGGCCUUCCAGCAUGUACUUCCAGACCCAUGACCAGAUUGGCAUGAUCAGUGCCGGCCCUAGCCACGUUGCUGCCAUGAACAUUCCCAUCCCCUUCAACCUGGUCAUGCCACCCAUGCCACCACCUGGCUAUUUUGGACAAGCCAACGGGCCCGCUGCAGGUGAGCAUCCGUGGCUGCGGCUGGGUGUGGCCCUCCCGAGAGCUCUCGAGGGUGUGCUUGUCUAUGAGGCGCUGACCUCCUUCGGAUCACCCUGGACUGCUGUCUUUCAGGGCGAGGCACCCCGAAAGGCAAGACUGGUCGUGGGGGACGCCAGAAGAACCGCUUUGGGCUUCCUGGACCCAGCCAGACCAACCUCCCCAACAGCCAAGCCAGCCAGGAUGUGGCGUCACAGCCCUUCUCUCAGGGCGCCCUGACGCAGGGCUACAUCUCCAUGAGCCAGCCUUCCCAGAUGAGCCAGCCCGGCCUCUCCCAGCCGGAGCUGUCCCAGGACAGUUACCUUGGUGACGAGUUUAAAUCACAAAUCGACGUGGCACUCUCGCAGGAUUCCACGUACCAGGGAGAGCGGGCUUACCAGCAUGGCGGGGUGACGGGGCUGUCCCAGUAUUAAAAGGUGGCGGCGGAAGAGCUAAGCAAUGUGGCUUAGUCCAUCAGCAUCUUAUUCUGGGUAAUAAAAAAUAAAAAUAAACGGAUACCUGUUUUCCACUGCUAAAACUGAAGCACCACUGUGUGAGCGACAGGAAGGGAGAGCGCACGAGGGAGAGGAGCCGAGGCCGAGCGCCCCCUGCUGGCCCGCGGCGGCGAGGAGCAGAGGGAGCGGAGGAGGGGCCGGCCCGCGGGAGCCGCGGCCACCAGGAGGCCCCGCUCCGUCCCACCGGGGCUGCGGCCAGGGCGGAGGGAGGAAGACCCUCAUCUCAGAGUAGCCCUUUCCUCUGUUCUUUUAUUUCUUUUUCUCUUUGAUUGAAAGGGGACUACGUCUUAGCAGGAAAAAACUUCGCAUUUCUGUGCCCGAGCAGGCUCCUUGCAAAGACAGCAGCGUGCGGGGCAGAGCCCCGGGAGGGCGCGUCUGUCCACGCCUACCGGACGCGCGUCGCACUGCCUGUGUUCUCCGAGGGCCUUCAUUUAAAGAAAAUAAGGGUGUUUGGGGUUUUUCUGUUUGUUUUUUUCAAGAUUCUUUUAAAGGAGUACUGAAGAAUACUUUCCUAAGUUUGUCUCUCAAAUCUUAGCGGUGGACCUGGGAGAUGUGAGAAGCUUCCAGAAACAGUUUAAAUAAGCCAGCGCCACUGGAGAAGAGGAGCAACACCUGUGCCGUGGCCGGAGGAGGAUUUUUGUUGUUGGUUUUAGCUUCCAGUGGCUUCUUGCUGCGGGGCAUCGGGCCGCUGGGGUAGCCGCCCGCCGAGCCUGGAAGCUGCUCGUUCUCCGCUGGACUCAGAAGCCAAGCUGCUUCCCACCUGGACUCGGCGCAGGGCCCCGCACCUGUGAGGAAGGUGCUUUUGGCCCCAUUGCGAGGGGCCUUGGCCAGGACUGGCCCUGUGGCCAGGAGGCGAGAAGGUGGCUGUUCCCGGAUUGACGGCUUUUUCCUGGGGGCCUUUGUGGAAGAUUUGGUGGAAGGACAAGAGGGCCUGGCCCUGUCCCCAUCCCCAGGAGGUACCGACGGUCCCUGUGCUGGUUAGACACACGGAGCACUGCAUACCGAAAGCCCAAAUUGGGAGCUCUGCCUGCCGGCAACUUUGCUGAUGGGGUGAUUGCUGCUUCUAGGGGGUAAGGAAACAAGUUACAGAAAUUACCGCGUUCUGUGUGAAGGGGCUGAGGGUGUGGUGUCAUUGGCAGAGGGUCAUUUUAGGAGAGCUGCCCCAGCCCCUCGAACGCCUGGCUUGGGGUGUCAUUCUGCCUGGCAGCCAGGCCUCCAGCCUCCCCUGGCCCGGGCCUGGGGCCGUCACUGGCCCUGAUCCGAACACCUCCAGAUUCCGGCUUCUACAUGGGACAGACGGGGACGCACAGGCCACCUUCCUUCUGGCAGGGACUCUUAUUUAUUCCCAUUGCUCUAGGGCUUUCGGUUUCCCCUUCUUCCGGUAGGCCGCGUAGAGGCAUGCACUGGGUAGGUUUCCGCGGUGACUCCGCGGCGGCCUGAGGGACGCUCCCUGCCCCAUCCCGGCUGUUGGGCUGGGCCGCUUUGCCUCUGCUUCGCCCUGUGCUGUGUUCUCCAGCUUUGUAGCAGCAGCCUUGACAAACCCAGGCGCACUGUACCAAGGCAAUGUAACUUUUGAUUUUCGGUCAAUUUAAGUUCUUUUGUCACCAAUAAAAUAUUAAUAAACAGUUUUGACUUC
This 3087-nucleotide small RNA is filed under the name Pongo abelii (Sumatran orangutan). RNAcentral's name for it is "retained intron". The record is from RNAcentral. Lineage: Eukaryota; Metazoa; Chordata; Mammalia; Primates; Hominidae.